ACUGCUCAGUAACACGUGGAUAACCUGCCCUAAGGAAGGGGAUAACCUCGGGAAACUGAGGAUAAUACCCUAUAGGUUACAGACGCUGGAAUGCCCUGUAACCGAAAGUUCCGGCGCCUUAGGAUGGAUCUGCGGCCGAUUAGGUUGUUGUUGGGGUAACGGCCCAACAAGCCGAUAAUCGGUACGGGUUGUGGGAGCAAGAGCCCGGAGUUGGAUUCUGAGACAUGAAUCCAGGCCCUACGGGGCGCAGCAGGCGCGAAAACUUUACAAUGCGGGAAACCGUGAUAAGGGAACCCCGAGUGCCUGUAUAUGCAGGCUGUCCAGGUGUCUAAAAAACACCUGAAGAAAGGGCCGGGCAAGACCGGUGCCAGCCGCCGCGGUAAUACCGGCGGCUCGAGUGGUGGCCACUUUUAUUGGGCUUAAAGCGUUCGUAGCUGGGUUGUUAAGUCUCUUGGGAAAUCUGACGGCUCAACCGUCAGGCGUCCAAGGGAUACUGGCAAUCUUGGAACCGGGAGAGGUGAGGGGUACUUCGGGGGUAGGAGUGAAAUCCUGUAAUCCUCGAGGGACCACCUGUGGCGAAGGCGCCUCACCAGAACGGCUUCGACAGUGAGGGACGAAAGCUGGGGGAGCAAACCGGAUUAGAUACCCGGGUAGUCCCAGCCGUAAACGAUGCGCGUUAGGUGUAUCGGUGACCACGAGUCACCGAGGUGCCGAAGGGAAACCGUGAAACGUGCCGCCUGGGGAAGUACGGUCGCAAGGCUGAAACUUAAAGGAAUUGGCGGGGGAGCAC
Molecule: ribosomal RNA, 790 nt
Filed under: Methanoculleus sp. enrichment culture clone HA_8
Lineage: Archaea; Methanobacteriati; Methanobacteriota; Methanomicrobia; Methanomicrobiales; Methanomicrobiaceae
Also listed under: 1 other name
Description: bacterial SSU rRNA
Rfam family: Archaeal small subunit ribosomal RNA
Source: RNAcentral